Molecule: long non-coding RNA, 303 nt
Organism: Dendroctonus ponderosae (mountain pine beetle)
Lineage: Eukaryota; Metazoa; Arthropoda; Insecta; Coleoptera; Curculionidae
Exons: 2
Source: RefSeq, a predicted model, not a curated record
UCAAUAUUAAAAGUAUCUAACCCAACAUCUGUGCCUAACUUUACACAAUUAAAUUAACUUUAUGUUGUUGAUUUUAUACAUAAGAUUUUAGGUGCUGUUGAGUAUUAACAUUUAAUUGUAAUAAUGUAGGAAAUUCUAGAAGCCGCAAUCAUUGGCAAAACAAGGAAAGAUGAAAUUGAAUAUGUAAUUUGGAAAAAUUUACGUAAAAACAGGGAAAGUUAUGAAAAUUAAAAAAUAUUGUUUCUUUAGAACCAAUGACCGUCCAUUACGUUUGGCGGCGACUCCUCGACAUCCAGGUGAAAA